AUGAUUCCUUGAUGAGUUAGCGU
Molecule: non-coding RNA, 23 nt
Filed under: Arabidopsis thaliana (thale cress)
Lineage: Eukaryota; Viridiplantae; Streptophyta; Magnoliopsida; Brassicales; Brassicaceae
Source: RNAcentral